RNAcentral lists this ribosomal RNA (937 nucleotides) under Haloaleurodiscus mangrovei. Its description in RNAcentral is "eukaryotic LSU rRNA". It matches the Rfam family "Eukaryotic large subunit ribosomal RNA", at positions 40 to 943 of the family's 3401-position model. The record is from RNAcentral. Lineage: Eukaryota; Fungi; Basidiomycota; Agaricomycetes; Russulales; Stereaceae.
AUAUCAAUAAGCGGAGGAAGAGAAACUAACCAGGAUUCCCCUAGUAACUGCGAGUGAAGCGGGAAAAGCUCAAAUUUGAAAUCUGGCGGUCUUUUGGCCGUCCGAGUUGUAGUUUCGAGAAGCGUCUUCCGCGCCGGACCGUGUACAAGUCUCCUGGAACGGAGCGUCAUAGAGGGUGAGAAUCCCGUCUUUGACACGGAGCUGCCGGUGCUUUGUGAUGCGCUCUCCAAGAGUCGCGUUGUUUGGGAAUGCAGCGCAAAACGGGUGGUGAACUCCAUCUAAAGCUAAAUACAGGGGAGAGACCGAUAGCGAACAAGUACCGUGAGGGAAAGAUGAAAAGCACUUUGGAAAGAGAGUGAAACAGUACGUGAAAUUGCUGAAAGGGAAACGCUUGAAGUCAGUCGCGUCGGCCGGGAUUCAGCUGGGCCUUUUCUUUGGCCUCGCGUACUUCUCCGGUUCCGACGGGCCAACGUCGCUUUUGAUCGCUGGAAAAGGGCGAGGGGAAGGUGGCACCUCUCGGGGUGUGUUAUAGCCCCUCGUCGUAUGCCCGGUGGCUAGGAGCGAGGACCGCAGCGUGCCUUUUGGGUUGGGGGUUUGCCUCACAAUCCCGCGCUUAGGAUGUUGGCGUAAUGGCUUUAAACGACCCGUCUUGAAACACGGACCAAGGAGUCCAACGUGCCUGCGAGUGUUCAGGUGGAAAACCUGUGCGCGCAACGAAAGUGAAAGUUGGGAACCCUGUCGCGGGGUGCACCGACGCCCGGCCCUGAGCUUUUAGCGACGGUGCCGCGGCAGAGCAUGUACGUUGGGACCCGAAAGAUGGUGAACUAUGCCUGAAUAGGGUGAAGCCAGAGGAAACUCUGGUGGAGGCUCGUAGCGAUUCUGACGUGCAAAUCGAUCGUCAAAUUUGGGUAUAGGGGCGAAAGACUAAUCGAACCAU